This is a long non-coding RNA of Triticum dicoccoides, 411 nucleotides long. RefSeq lists it as uncharacterized. The record is from RefSeq and is a predicted model, not a curated record. The transcript has 3 exons. NCBI's taxonomy places the organism in Eukaryota, Viridiplantae, Streptophyta, Magnoliopsida, Poales, Poaceae.
UGCUCUCUUUUUAUCGAUCGAUUCACUUACCCCUUGAGAGAUCUAUCUUAUCUAAGUGCAGAUCAAAGAAACAUGAACAUAGUCCUUCCAAAGAAUACAAGAAAGACAAAACAGACAACAAAUAUCAAACAACCAAUGAUGGACAGCAGGAGUAAGCCAAACAUGCAUACCAAAUAGAUGUUAACAUAUGGACGAGACAAUCAAACAGGAAGGGUCUUACUAUUCAUGGCAGAUGUUAACAUGUGGAGGAGACAAUCAUACAUGAAGGAUCUUCAUUAUUGGAUAAUGCUUGAAUGCACCGAGUUUCUCUUUGUCUUUUCUCCUUUCGCCCUUUGGAAUCACCAGAGUACCCAUUCCUCAACGUGUAUGAGUGUACGAGGGUACUUUUAGUCAUAAAUCUAUAAAUACCAA